This 72-nucleotide transfer RNA is filed under the name Ictidomys tridecemlineatus (thirteen-lined ground squirrel). RNAcentral describes it as "Spermophilus tridecemlineatus (thirteen-lined ground squirrel) tRNA". It matches the Rfam family "tRNA". Rfam says of the family: Transfer RNA (tRNA) molecules are approximately 80 nucleotides in length. The record is from Rfam by way of RNAcentral. Lineage: Eukaryota; Metazoa; Chordata; Mammalia; Rodentia; Sciuridae.
GGGGUUGUGGCUCAUUGGUAGAGUGCUUGCCUAGCAUGUGUGAGGCACUGGGUUGGAUUCUCAGCACCACCU